AUGAAUGUCUUAAGUUGGAACUGCCGAGGGGCGGGGAACCCUCGGACAGUUCGUGAUCUUGUGAGUCUUGUUCAGACUCACUCCCCUAGCAUUGUUUUUCUUUGUGAAACUCGACAGUCCAAGAAUAAAAUGAGUAGGUAUCGUGCUCCCUUAGGUUUAAAGGGUUUUGAUGCUUCUGAUAGUGUUGGUCUUAGUGGAGGUCUUGCUUUGUAUUGGCAUGAGGCGUUGUGU
RNAcentral lists this ribosomal RNA (231 nucleotides) under Triticum aestivum (bread wheat). Its description in RNAcentral is "partial small subunit ribosomal RNA". The record is from RNAcentral. Lineage: Eukaryota; Viridiplantae; Streptophyta; Magnoliopsida; Poales; Poaceae.